Clarias gariepinus (North African catfish) is the source of this 521-nucleotide long non-coding RNA. RefSeq lists it as uncharacterized. The record is from RefSeq and is a predicted model, not a curated record. The transcript is spliced from 3 exons. NCBI's taxonomy places the organism in Eukaryota, Metazoa, Chordata, Actinopteri, Siluriformes, Clariidae.
CCCACCCCCUUUGCUUUUUCCUUCAUCUGCCGUUUCCUUUUUCUCCCCCAGCAGCGGUAUGCGUCUCACUUCCCGAUUAUGUGCAGUGAGCGAUGUGCGUACAAGUCAGGCAGCGAGUAGUGUAAAUAGAGUAGAUGAGAGCUAAAAGGACUCGAAGAGGAGGGAAAAGAGGAAGGUGAAGAGAAAACCUGAGUGGUUUGAUGAGGACAGAUGCAAGCUAGAGUUUGUGAAGCGCUUGGAUUUACCCAUGUGAAGUGUCCACAUCUUAAUUCCUGCUGGCAAAGGGCACAAUUAAGUUGCUGCAUCCCUUCUUUUCUUGCUCAUCAGAACUCAUUUGGGCAUCUGGGCAACUAAGGCAGAGGAAAUGCAUUUAUUGAGGAAGGUCUGUGCUGAAUAAGGGCCAGAAGCAGCACCAGAGGAAUAUUCAGAUACAGGCAAAAACAAUAUUGCUGCUUUCCUUUCCUACUUGUCCAUUUUCUCAGAAUACUUCUACUGGGAUGUACAAUACACAACAAAUGUCC